RNAcentral lists this long non-coding RNA (431 nucleotides) under Panicum hallii. RNAcentral's name for it is "long non-coding RNA (PHAL_LNC000316)". Lineage: Eukaryota; Viridiplantae; Streptophyta; Magnoliopsida; Poales; Poaceae. The record is from RNAcentral.
GAUUAUAUAAUAUCUCAUGCAACUGAGUUUCAAUAAUUAACUUUUGUAUAUACUAAAAUAUACAUAGCAUAUUUUUUAUAUCUACAAGUUUCGCUCUUUUUUAUCUAAGUUCACGGAAACCGACUCGGCCUCUGGUGCCGCCAAAGCCGCCGGUGCCGCUGGUGCCGCCGGUGCCGCCGUGCUCGCCGUGGGGGCUGAUCGCGGGCCAGCAGAGCCCGCCAGGCUCACGGCCGCACUCUCCCGGUUCGCCAGGCUCGCCCGGUUGGCCAAGCUCGCUCGGUUGUCCUCCGCUGCCACCGCGUCCUCCCCUACCCCUGCCGCCGCGUCCUCGCCUUCCUCCCCCACCGCGUCCUCCCCUACCCCGCCGCGGCCUCCCGUGCCGAGGGGCCCUGUCGAUUGGCCGAUGUUGUCUGGCAUUUUGGUGGGUGGGG